UUGAACGCUGGCGGCAGGCCUAACACAUGCAAGUCGAACGGUAACAGGAAGCAGCUUGCUGCUUUGCUGACGCGUGGCGGACGGGUGAGUAAUGUCUGGGAAACUGCCCGAUGGAGGGGGAUAACUACUGGAAACGGUAGCUAAUACCGCAUAACGUCGCAAGACCAAAGAAGGGGACCUUAGGGCCUCUUGCCAUCGGAUGUGCCCAGAUGGGAUUAGCUAGUAGGUGGGGUAACGGCUCACCUAGGCGACGAUCCCUAGCUGGUCUGAGAGGAUGACCAGCCACACUGGAACUGAGACACGGUCCAGACUCCUACGGGAGGCAGCAGUGGGGAAUAUUGCACAAUGGGCGCAAGCCUGAUGCAGCCAUGCCGCGUGUAUGAAGAAGGCCUUCGGGUUGUAAAGUACUUUCAGCGGGGAGGAAGGGAGUAAAGUUAAUACCUUUGCUCAUUGACGUUACCCGCAGAAGAUGCACCGGCUAACUCCGUG
This 489-nucleotide ribosomal RNA is filed under the name uncultured bacterium. RNAcentral's name for it is "partial 16S ribosomal RNA". It matches the Rfam family "Bacterial small subunit ribosomal RNA", at positions 30 to 507 of the family's 1533-position model. The record is from RNAcentral.